CUGGAGUCGCCAUGUGAUCCACCGGCAAGAGAGGGUGCCAGUGGAAGGCAUUCUCUCAUUUUGCCAUUCUCUGCCAGCUGGCCACCACAGUGAAUGUCUACAGAUGCUUCUAUAUCCAUCAGGGACUCGAAUUUCUCAAAUGUGAGUGCCAGUCCCAGAGAAAAUUGGCCGAUUUCCAUUAUACCCACAGUCCUACAGCCCAGAACUUCAAGACUUACCCAGAGAUUAUUGGGGUCAUCAGGGGUGGGAGUGGGAGUUUGUUGUAGACAGACUCUGGCCCACACAUACCUGCAGUCAUUGCUGUAGACAGACCCCAAAGGGGAAGGUCAUCCCAAAUUCUGGCUUAGAUUUCUGGCCUCCUUUCUCACUUGAGUGUUGGCUUUCUAUUCUCUGUUUUGUUAGCUUCUACUGACUUCAGUAAAAUGUUCCUUUUUUAA
Molecule: non-coding RNA, 437 nt
Organism: Cricetulus griseus (Chinese hamster)
Lineage: Eukaryota; Metazoa; Chordata; Mammalia; Rodentia; Cricetidae
Source: RefSeq, a predicted model, not a curated record